RNAcentral lists this ribosomal RNA (275 nucleotides) under uncultured bacterium. RNAcentral describes it as "partial 16S ribosomal RNA". It matches the Rfam family "Bacterial small subunit ribosomal RNA", at positions 399 to 691 of the family's 1533-position model. The record is from RNAcentral.
GCGUGAGUGAUGAAGGCCUUCGGGUUGUAAAGCUCUUUCGCACGCGACGAUGAUGACGGUAGCGUGAGAAGAAGCCCCGGCUAACUUCGUGCCAGCAGCCGCGGUAAUACGAAGGGGGCUAGCGUUGUUCGGAAUUACUGGGCGUAAAGGGCGCGUAGGCGGUGCCUCAAGUCAGGCGUGAAAGCCCCGGGCUCAACCUGGGAACCGCGCUUGAGACUGGAGUACUAGAGUUCGGGAGAGGAUGGUGGAAUUCCCAGUGUAGAGGUGAAAUUCGU